This 689-nucleotide unclassified non-coding RNA is filed under the name Bombus terrestris (buff-tailed bumblebee). RNAcentral's name for it is "misc RNA ENSBTSG00005029625.1". The record is from RNAcentral. Lineage: Eukaryota; Metazoa; Arthropoda; Insecta; Hymenoptera; Apidae.
AUUAGGGAGGAGCCACGAACUGAAAAACAUAUGUAGCACUAGUUGGAGAUCUCGCCUAGCUACGGACCACCCGGGAGUCGCGAUAGCCCAGCAACCAUGACCUCAAGAUCGUGGUAACUACUCGGAUAACCUCGAGGUCGAGAGAGCGGCUUCGAUCCACGCCGAGGUCGAGCCACUAGCCACGGACCACCCCGGAGCUAAGGGAUUCGUCACAGGCUACUCGAGAACAGAGGACCGUGGGUGAGCUUCAAGGCGAUUAGAUUUAAACCAUUCAACGGAAAAAUUAGUGGAGCCCACGAGGACAUCGAUUCAUCGAGACGGCUGAAGGGGCCGAUGCCUUUCAGUGGCAAUGACCCGCGAAAUUGCUUUACGCAAUCGGCCAUUAUGCGUCUGAAAAUUUCGCGAGGCAUUCGAGAUCAACCCGCCGUUUGAUGUGAUACGAAUAUUAUAUAUUGUUCAUUGUCGGCCACGUUUGAUUGCACCGAUCGCGCAAUUAUCGAUGCCCCUCUUGCCCUGUAAUAAAAUUCAACCGCACGCAUCUGCACAGGGAUCUAUCUACUGGAACGCAUGAUGCGUAAACGUACCCAACAAACUGUUUUGAAACGUGUUGGAAUGCCGAAUGCCGGAAACCAGAUGAUCGAGGAAAAAGCAGCAGGGCGAUAAUGCACACUUAAAUAGUUAUUUCAUAA